This 76-nucleotide transfer RNA is filed under the name Rhodospirillaceae bacterium. RNAcentral's name for it is "tRNA-Ala". It matches the Rfam family "tRNA". Rfam says of the family: Transfer RNA (tRNA) molecules are approximately 80 nucleotides in length. The record is from RNAcentral. Lineage: Bacteria; Pseudomonadati; Pseudomonadota; Alphaproteobacteria; Rhodospirillales; Rhodospirillaceae. RNAcentral also lists the same sequence under 2 other names.
GGGGCAGUAGCUCAGUUGGGAGAGCACCAGCUUCGCAAGUUGGGGGUCGGCGGUUCGAUCCCGCUCUGCUCCACCA